GAUCACCUGUCCUGGUUUGAAGAGACUGUCUUUGUUUGUGAACUAAUACUAAACAACUGUGACGCCCCAACUUUUUCUAUUUCUUUUAAAUUAGUUUUUGGAUUACCUUCAAUUUUUUUUAGCCAAAUAUCGUUUCGUUUUAUUUUGAGGGCCUAUGGAAUUUUUUUUAAGAAGUCGAAAUAUUAAUUAAUUAUUCCAAUCCUGAAGUCAAAUCCCCAGUCAACAUGAAUUUCCUUCUCCUAAUUUCAUUCUACACGUUUUUUUUCAUCAAUAUCCCUACUCCCUAAAAUCUCUCCAAACACCAAAUCCAUCAAUAUCUAUCAGUUUUGCCUAUAAAUAUCUCACAUUCACGAUCCUUUCAAACCUGCUGCAAUUCUUUUCUUCUGUUCCUCCAAAAGUGUGAAAGAGAAACCAAGAAAGUUGUGAUCUGCUUGUGCAAAUUUUCUUCCUCCCAAAGGGUGAACUUUUGCACGUUGUUUGUGGUUGGAGCAGAAAGUGAUUCGGGAGUUAAGCGUUUGAGGUUGAGCGCGACUAGUGCUGUGGGUGUUGAGCAAGACCGUUGAAGAAAUUUAAGUGUCUAGAAUGUGUCAUGUCUUCACACGUGGCAUAUUCCUUCUCUCAAUUGCUUCCGCUGAGUAGUUGUCAUUCUUUUGAGUUCUUGUAUCG
Molecule: long non-coding RNA, 666 nt
Organism: Salvia splendens (bonfire salvia)
Lineage: Eukaryota; Viridiplantae; Streptophyta; Magnoliopsida; Lamiales; Lamiaceae
Exons: 3
Source: RefSeq, a predicted model, not a curated record